UAGGGAAUCUUCGGCAAUGGACGAAAGUCUGACCGAGCAACGCCGCGUGAGUGAAGAAGGUUUUCGGAUCGUAAAACUCUGUUGUUAGAGAAGAACAAGGACGUUAGUAACUGAACGUCCCCUGACGGUAUCUAACCAGAAAGCCACGGCUAACUACGUGCCAGCAGCCGCGGUAAUACGUAGGUGGCAAGCGUUGUCCGGAUUUAUUGGGCGUAAAGCGAGCGCAGGCGGUUUCUUAAGUCUGAUGUGAAAGCCCCCGGCUCAACCGGGGAGGGUCAUUGGAAACUGGGAGACUUGAGUGCAGAAGAGGGGAGUGGAAUUCCAUGUGUAGCGGUUAAAUGCGUAGAUAUAUGGAGGAACACCAGUGGCGAAGGCGGCUCUCUGGUCUGUAACUGACGCUGAGGAUCGAAAGCGUGGGGAGCAAACAGG
Molecule: ribosomal RNA, 429 nt
Filed under: Gemmatimonadota bacterium
Lineage: Bacteria; Pseudomonadati; Gemmatimonadota
Description: Gemmatimonadetes bacterium partial 16S ribosomal RNA
Rfam family: Bacterial small subunit ribosomal RNA
Source: RNAcentral